UACAGGGGGGGCAAGCGUUGUUCGGAAUUACUGGGCGUAAAGGGCUCGUAGGCGGCCAACUAAGUCACACGUGAAAUCCCCAGGCUUAACCUGGGAACUGCGUGUGAUACUGGAUGGCUUGAAUUCGGGAGAGGGAUGCAGAAUUCCAGGUGUAGCGGUGAAAUGCGUAGAUAUCAGGAGGAACACCGGUGGCGAAGGCGGCUUUCUGGACAGUAACUGACGCUGAGGCGCGAAAGCUAGGGGAGCAAACAGG
RNAcentral lists this ribosomal RNA (253 nucleotides) under uncultured bacterium. RNAcentral's name for it is "partial 16S ribosomal RNA". It matches the Rfam family "Bacterial small subunit ribosomal RNA", at positions 524 to 776 of the family's 1533-position model. The record is from RNAcentral.